AGUGGGUGUGGGUGUGGGUGUGGGUAUAAAGUCAUUCAAAAGUGGGAAGGAGCUGCCUUUUGCAUUUGCACUGACUCAUUUCAGACUGGACAGAACGGGUACAGAAGUGGGAGUCCAAAGGCCAGAUCAUCUUGAGAAUUUAAAUCCCUAGGAAUUCACUGGAAGCUUUGUUAAGAAUUUCAUCCUUCCCAAGGGACGUGGAAGAGUUUAAGUUUUUCCAUAUUGAGCAUUAAGUGUGAAUGCCAACCAACAUGUCUCCCAUCAACCUUCUGGCUUUCUUGUUAGACGUGAGGGAGCUAACCAUCUGGGGC
This 311-nucleotide long non-coding RNA is filed under the name Marmota monax (woodchuck). Lineage: Eukaryota; Metazoa; Chordata; Mammalia; Rodentia; Sciuridae. The record is from RNAcentral.